Molecule: ribosomal RNA, 410 nt
Filed under: uncultured bacterium
Lineage: Bacteria
Description: partial 16S ribosomal RNA
Rfam family: Bacterial small subunit ribosomal RNA
Source: RNAcentral
UGGGGAAUAUUGGACAAUGGGGGCAACCCUGAUCCAGCAAUGCCGCGUGUGUGAAGAAGGUCUUCGGAUUGUAAAGCACUUUCGACGGGGACGAUGAUGACGGUACCCGUAGAAGAAGCCCCGGCUAACUUCGUGCCAGCAGCCGCGGUAAUACGAAGGGGGCUAGCGUUGCUCGGAAUGACUGGGCGUAAAGGGCGUGUAGGCGGUUUACACAGUCAGAUGUGAAAUCCCCGGGCUUAACCUGGGAGCUGCAUUUGAUACGUGUAGACUAGAGUGUGAGAGAGGGUUGUGGAAUUCCCAGUGUAGAGGUGAAAUUCGUAGAUAUUGGGAAGAACACCGGUGGCGAAGGCGGCAACCUGGCUCAUGACUGACGCUGAGGCGCGAAAGCGUGGGGAGCAAACAGGAUUAGA